UACGGAGGGGGCUAGCGUUGUUCGGAAUUACUGGGCGUAAAGCGCACGUAGGCGGCUUGGUAAGUUAGAGGUGAAAGCCUGUGGCUCAACCACAGAAUUGCCUUCGAUACUGUAGAGCUUGAGACCGGAAGAGGUAAGUGGAACUGCGAGUGUAGAGGUGAAAUUCGUAGAUAUUCGCAAGAACACCAGUGGCGAAGGCGGCUUACUGGUCCGGUUCUGACGCUGAGGCGCGAAAGCGUGGGGAGCAAACAGG
RNAcentral lists this ribosomal RNA (253 nucleotides) under uncultured bacterium. Its description in RNAcentral is "partial 16S ribosomal RNA". It matches the Rfam family "Bacterial small subunit ribosomal RNA", at positions 524 to 776 of the family's 1533-position model. The record is from RNAcentral.